CCGCCUUUUCGCUAUCGGCUUUCAGCAGGGCUUAAUAGUCAUUUCAGGAAAGAGCUCUAUGGAGGGUAAAUUUUAAUACUCGUAUGACUUGAGGUUUCUUGGACUGCGGCGAGGAAUGGGAGUGUCACCUGCUAUUUGCUUGUUUGUCACACAUUGCGACUCAGCCCUGGCAGGCUGAACAGAGGGAAACCUAACAAGUUCUGUAUGGCUCACUGCUUAUCAGGAGCAGGCACCAGCAGCCAUAUUGUAGGUCAGCAAAACAAAGAAACAACAAAAAGAGGCUUUUUGUGAGGGAUGAAAAGGGUUUGGAAGUGUCUGAGCUGCAGUGUCACUGCUGCCGCCAGUGACUUCUUGACUGCAUUCGUUUUUGAAAAACCAUUUUUUUAAAAAAUACAGAGAUACCUCAGGUUACAGAUGCUUAAAGUUACAGACGCUUCAGGUUACAGAUGCUUCAGCUUACAGACACUUCAGGUUACAGACUCCGCUAACCCAGAAAUAGUGCUUCAGGUUAAGAACUUUGCUUCAGGAUGAGAACAGAAAUCAUGUGGCGGCAGCGGGAGGCCCCAUUAGCUAAAGUGGUACCUCAGGUUAAGAACAGUUUCAGGUUAAGAACGGACCGGAAUGAAUUAAGUUCUUAACCUGAGGUACCACACACACUCUCUCUCUCUGUGUAUAUAUAUAUAUACACAUAUAUAUAUUGCCUGCAGGCGGAUGUUUGUCACUGGGUCCUUCCCAAAAUCUCUAUUUUAAUGGCCUUUUAAAAAGCUUGUAUAAAGUUUAGGUGCAGUCUGUGCAAAAAGUGACCCUUUCUUGAGAGAAAUGAAUCAAGUUUAUAAUACUGGAGCCUCGCAGCUUGUAAAGUGAGAUAAGAGUCUGUCAGUGCUUUCAUUACUCAGGCACAAAUUUCCUUUACAAUCUGCACUGUAGUCUUUACUGUUCCAGCAUGGCAUUCCUAUUCUCCUUUUCAGUAGGCUACGUUUAUUUUGCCUGCUACAAUCCCAGUUAUGGGAGAUAAUGGAACAAAUGAGAAAUGGUUUCAUACACCAAAAACUCUAUUAUAAAGCCUCAAAGGGGUUUGGGCCUUACAUUUCCAAAACAGUUUGCCUAGAAGUAAGUGGCAUUGAAACUUACUUCUGAGAAAACAGGGUUAGGAGGACUGUGCAGUAAGAGUCCAAUUCCUUUGCUCCAUUACAUACCCUCUAACAUUUCUCUGAUGAAAACAAGGAUGUCCUAUUUAAUAAUAAUAAUAAUAAUAAUAAUAAUAAUAAUAAUACCCAGUCCACCUGCCUGGGCUGCCCCAACCGCUCUGGGUGGCUUCCAACAUAUUAAAACAUAAUAAAACUUUAAACAUUAAGAAAAUGUCAAUAUACAGGGCUGCCUUCAGAUAUCUUCUAAAGGUUGUAUAGUUACAUAUCUCUUUCGCUCGGGAGUUCCAUAACUCCAUACCCUCCAACAUUUCUCUGAUGAAAAUAGGGACAUCCUAAGGAAAAGUGGGACAUUUCAGGAUCUAAUCAGAAACCAGGAUGGCUUCUGUAAAUCCUGGACUGUCCCUGGAAAAUAGGGACACUUGGAGGAUCUGCCAUGAUAACUUCAACUAGCUGGAAAAUCAUCUCCUAAGAAUCGCACCAAGAUAUGAAGAUAAACUUACUCACAGAACCUCAUCAGGGUUCCCCCCCACCCCAUUAUGGAGUCUGAUGCUGUGAAUACAUGAGGGUACAAAAGUUACUAUGCUUGAAAGUAACUGUGAUGAGUUUGGUGGUUUUCAUGUGGACGAUGUGGAAGAGACAGCACUGAACAUGAAGGGCUGUGGUUGCCACUUGUGCAUUUAGCCAUGUCACAGAUAACCAGGACACAAGGAAGGGUGCUUUCAGUAGCUGAUAUAGUAUCAUGGAACUCCCUUCACCUUUUGUGGAUUGUCUAAAUCAGCUCAUGAGCAUUUUUGGAGAUGUGGAAGGCUGUGUUCAUAGUCCUGCUGUAAGAACACUGUUGUCCCUCAUAGGGCCAAAUCUUAUGCCUCCUGCUGCAUAUUAUGUUGGCUCAAGGAAGAAAUAGGUAAAAAAGGAGAAUUCCAGGAUGCCAAGAUCCAAGUUUGGGGCAAAUACGCUUUGGUGAGAGAACUCCGGCAGAGAUUUAAAGUCACCAAAUAUGCAGCAAAGCAAAGUGUAGAAAUAUAGGCUGUUACCAGGGGUCAGCAAACUGUUUCAGCAGGGGGCCAGUCCACUGUCCCUCAGACCUUGUGGUGGGCCGGACUAUAUUUUUUUUUGGGGGGGGGGAAUGAACAAAUUCAUAUGCCCCACAAAAACCCAGAGAUGCAUUUUAAAUAAAAGCACAUAUUCUACUCAUGUAAAAACACGCUGAUUCCUGGACCGUCCACGGGCCGCAUCUAGAAGGCGAUUGGGCUGGAUCCGGCCCCCGGGCCUUAGUUUGCCUAUCCAUGUGUUAGACCUUUAAAAUAUGCCCUUUCAAGUGAGUUCCAAGGUUUCCCUCUUCCCCUACCUUAGAAAAAAGACCAGUUUGGUAAGUUAAAAAAUGCUUUAAUUAAAAGCUCUCAAUAGGUCAGACUCGUGUGCUUCAGAAAAGUUGCACAGGCAUUAAAACUUGGGUUAGUGCUGAAAAUUUCUAAAUUUUUGGUAUAGAAACUCAAGAAUGGCUGAAGAAAGCCAUGCGGUUUGAGCUUGAGCAACCAGCUCAAACCUCAUUAUAUGCUGAGCUUCUCAGGCAGACUGGAAGGAGAAACUUUGUGCCUUUUCAGUCUUCAAUCACACUCAAUUACAGUAAGCUAUGAUCCAAACCUGCGCAUUAACCUGCAAGGCAAAUAGGUAAAGCUAAAGCUAAUGGAACCCUGGAUGAUUAAGUCCAGUCAAAGGUGACUAUGGGGUGCGGUGCUCAUCUUGUUUUCAGGUCGAGGAAGCAGACGUUUGUCCACAGAUAGCUUUCCUGGUCAUGUGGCCAGCAUGAUGAAACCACUUCUAGCACAAUGGAACACCGUGGCGGAAACCAGAGCGCACAGAAACGCUGUUUACCUUCCCACCGCAGUGGUACCUAUUUAUCUACUUGCACUGGCAUACUUUCGAACUGCUAGGUUGGCAGAAGCUGGGAAGCUAGUUCCUCUCAAGGUGAGGGGAAGUGGAUAUUGCUAAGCCUAGCAGGAAAGCUUACUCUGUGGUAUUAACCCCUUCGUGUUAAUUAGAUUUACCGUAAGUAUGUUGGUUAUAUGAGGCUGAUUAUCCCACAGAUUAUAUAUCUCAGUGGAACAGUUCUGCCAAAAGACAGUUUCAAAUCCCUGUUUAAUGAGCUCCUAAUCACCUCAUACUGUAUCUUUCAAUGAAUAUAUUUGCUAUAGCAAAAAAAGAACCCUGUUACGUUCUGUAUAAUCAAAUUUUGCUUUGGCCACAGCCACACAGUUCCGACCCAAGACAACUUUCUGCCUGAUGUGGAGUUCAAAGGGACCCUCUCCUCUCCCCACUGAGUCCCAGCUAAGACCCUUAUAAGUUUUUCCUGCGCCUUAUGAUACCAAUCCCAGUCUUCUUCUGCCCCCUCUCAUGGUAUCACCUAAAGCAGGUUCUUUUAUCCUGGUGCUUUGCAAGAAUGGCCCUGUGGUCACAUGCCAGGUUUGGCAUGAAUCAGGGACAGAAAAUGUCUGUGUACACACUACCAUAUUAAAAUGCAGCUGGGGCGUUAUUAUUUUUCCAGUUCGGACCAAAACUGGUUUGGAGAGUAGUGCAGCAACAUGCAGUAUGUUAUAAGAAACAGCAGGUUAGAUACAUCCUAGAUGUGGAUUGUGUCUACUGUUGUGUGUACACUCUUCCAAAACCAACAGUGGGAGCACACUGGAUGCAGAGUAAAUAAAUGGGAGCGUGUGGCCACAGUCCUAUGCUUGGGGUCCUUGUUCUCCAGUCUUUGUGUCUGUGUGCACUUUCUGCUUUACCAUGCAGUAUUUCCAGCGGAUGAAACCGAGAUCUGAUACUCUGCUGACACCCAGUAUUAAGUGCUCAGGUACUGAGUGUACAAUGAGAACGCAAUGAGAGCAGCAUCCUGUAAUCUACUUGUAGAUGUUCCUUCUCUCUUUCUCCCAUCCCCCACCCCUUCCCACCCCCAUUCCAGGAGCCUAUUAAAUUAAUGAGACAGAAGUCAGUGCGCUGCAGCAGUCAACAUGUUAUUGGUGGUAUAGCUCUGGUGCCGUUACAAUGUGCCUGUUUUUUCUCCUGGGACAUUUAAUUUCCGCUUCUCAAAUGAGCUGCAAAGCUGUGAAGCCUGGCAGUGUUCUUUCUAGACACUCUGUGAUGCAGAUAAUGAGGGUACUGAUAGGUGCCUAGGAGACUGUGAUGGCUCUAAGCACAGCUAUGGUCUGAUAAUGCUUUAUGCCAGUAGUGUCACAGCGGAACCACUAUCAUCCCUCAAGGAAUGGUUCAUCUUUAUGUGUAAUGCAGCAGCUGUCACCUAAAUGGCUAAUGGGGAAGCAAAGUAGAACCUUACUGCUAGUAAUUUUGUCACUUAAUAAUUUUUAAGAGGAUCAAACUUCAGGAACGCCUGCAAAUUCUAACAGAAGUCUCCCUCCCUCCUUGCCUCCCCAGCACCGCCCUCCCCUCCAAAUCCCACACUUUUGCUAUUAUGAUUUUGUUUGCAGUGGAUUAAAUGUAAAUUGAGAAAUCUGUGAUACGACUCUGUGCAGAUCUAAUUUAGUAUAAUUUGAAUAGCCAAGUAAUUAAAAUGUAUUAUAGGUUGAAGAUGCUGAGAUGGUGGAGUGCCUACAUUUAAGAGGAAGAUUUAUUGGGCUCGCAGCAACCACGGUGAACCUUCUACAACCACAUUAGCUAACAUCUGUCGAGAUGCAGGGCCGUGAGAUGUAUGCAUGCACCAAGUGUGCGUCCGUACGGGGUUCGAGCCGCAAAAAAACGGGGACGUGGAGUGCGGUUUUGCAAAAGGGGCUGUGCAAUAAUGUUCCGUGUGCCUCUGUGAACAUAUAGAACUGAAUUAUAGCCUUGCACCAGGCUUGUUUGUACAGCGAAAAAUAAAUCUGUGGC
RNAcentral lists this long non-coding RNA (5024 nucleotides) under Podarcis lilfordi (Lilford's wall lizard). The record is from RNAcentral. Lineage: Eukaryota; Metazoa; Chordata; Lepidosauria; Squamata; Lacertidae.